This 510-nucleotide ribosomal RNA is filed under the name uncultured bacterium. RNAcentral describes it as "partial 16S ribosomal RNA". The record is from RNAcentral.
GGAGUUAGCCGGUGCUUCUUCUGCGAGUAACGUCACAGAUGUAAGGUAUUAACUUACACCCUUUCCUCCUCGCUGAAAGUGCUUUACAACCCGAAGGCCUUCUUCACACACGCGGCAUGGCUGCAUCAGGGUUUCCCCCAUUGUGCAAUAUUCCCCACUGCUGCCUCCCGUAGGAGUCUGGGCCGUGUCUCAGUCCCAGUGUGGCUGAUCAUCCUCUCAGACCAGCUAGGGAUCGUCGCCUAGGUGAGCCUUUACCUCACCUACUAGCUAAUCCCACCUGGGCUUAUCCAUCAGCGCAAGGCCCGAAGGUCCCCUGCUUUCCCCCGUAGGGCGUAUGCGGUAUUAGCAGUCGUUUCCAACUGUUAUCCCCCACAAAUGGGCAAAUUCCCAGGCAUUACUCACCCGUCCGCCGCUCGUCAUCUUCAAAAGCAAGCUUUUGAAAUGUUACCGCUCGACUUGCAUGUGUUAGGCCUGCCGCCAGCGUUCAAUCUGAGCCAGGAUCAAACCUGA